This is a long non-coding RNA of Peromyscus eremicus (cactus mouse), 850 nucleotides long. RefSeq lists it as uncharacterized. NCBI's taxonomy places the organism in Eukaryota, Metazoa, Chordata, Mammalia, Rodentia, Cricetidae. The transcript is spliced from 4 exons. The record is from RefSeq and is a predicted model, not a curated record.
GACAGGGAAGGGUUAAGAUGAGGCACAGGGAUUCCAUAUGGCAAGUGGAAGCCUCUCUGUUAGUUCUGAGAAGAGGAAUGAAGAGCUCACUCCUCUCUCCCUUCCACGGUGCUCAGCUCUGCUUUCCUAAUUCAGCCUCAGGACGGCUGAAGGACGUGGGCAUUCCUCCCAUGUUCGCCUCAUUCCCACAGCAGCCGUAUACUUGUCUUACCCGUUCUUGUCUUGAACCCUCCACCAGUGGACCUCGGAGCUGUCCAGCAGAACAAGAUGUAGAACUCUCAGCUCCUUCUCCAGCACCAUGUCUGCCUGAACAAUGCCAUGCUUCCUACCUGGAUGAUAGUGGACUAAACUUCUGAAACUGGAAGGUCUCAUGUAACUGAGAAUGUCCUUACACUCCAGAUCUUCUUGCCUCUACCUCCCCUGUGCUGGGAUCCCAGGUCUCUGAGGGACAUUACCUCUGUGACUGUCCUAGUGGCCUUGCUCUGGACUCUUUCUCCAACUUCAAACUCGACAACUACAGGCCCAGUACUGCUUCCUCCAUAUUGCUGGAACCUCUUCCUCCUACCUCUGUGACAUUUAAGGAUCCUGAGAACCACCAAGGUGGAGAGCCACCCAUCCCACAAUGAUCGUCUAGGACAGGUACCCCAUUUUAAGGUCAGAAGAUGGGCACUGUAACUCCACUUGGUAUUGUAAUUUCCCUUUGUCACUCAACUUCAUACAGUCACAGGUUUGUAGGCAUUAGGACAUGGAAAGAUUUGCACAGGGCUGUUAUUCUACUUAUAAGUUUGAAUGCCUUCGCUACCACUUAACACGAUGGCUUGGAAUUUUAGUUCCUUUGUCUGUGAAAGGA